Long non-coding RNA from Haliotis rufescens (red abalone), 772 nucleotides. RefSeq lists it as uncharacterized. NCBI's taxonomy places the organism in Eukaryota, Metazoa, Mollusca, Gastropoda, Lepetellida, Haliotidae. The transcript has 3 exons. The record is from RefSeq and is a predicted model, not a curated record.
CACACUGACAAAUGUUUUCCCUCGGCUUUUACAUGACUCCUCAUAUAUAGGUCGCUGUAUGUUUCUCCCGAGGACGUGAAUUAAUCUACACCUCGGUGUCAUCCACAGGGGUGUCUAUUUAUUAGACAAAGUAAUAAAGACUCACACCCGCAGCCCGUGUCUGGUCUUCCUUGAAACCUACACAACUCCAGGUUACAUGUGAUGGAGCCCGCAAUGAGUACUUUGCAGAGUAUUGAUGACAGAGCCACCACAAGCUGACAAGGAAGAGUGUUCAGUUUUCUUUCCUAGGACUGAUUGGAACACCAGCGACUUGUGCUGAGUUUAAUCAGACAUCAGAAACUUGAGCUGACAUUGAAAUGUGUGCCAUGAACUUGUGCUCAUGAUUUGUGAUUUUAUUGAAUUCUAGAUUAAAUGCGUACGUCAUGUGGCGUCCACCUGAACUUCUACACAACUGAUGCAAAAAAUCAUGAUGUGUGAUUUACUGAACUCUGUUUCCAUGCAAGUACUUGUAACAAUAAAGCUUUUUGUUUAGCCAUCCAUCAUGUACCACAGAUCAAAUGUGUUUGAACAAUGCAGUAGUGAGUUUGUUUUGAUUUCAUUCCUUUAGUUAACGACCGGCUAUAGUUUGUAUGUGUCCUCUUGAUUACGUUGGCACCAACAUGUUUAGUUGGUUUGUGGAUCCACACCUUGUGUAAUAAUUAAAUUUUCGUUGUGUUCAUGGAAAUUCCUGCAUUCUGAUUAGCUGAAUUGGUCACGUGUUACUGCAUUCAUU